Molecule: long non-coding RNA, 1128 nt
Filed under: Scophthalmus maximus (turbot)
Lineage: Eukaryota; Metazoa; Chordata; Actinopteri; Pleuronectiformes; Scophthalmidae
Description: lncRNA (ENSSMAG00000031409.1)
Source: RNAcentral
UCUUCUUUUUUAUUGAUCUACUUUUCCAACACUUUUCAGCCUUUCUACUUAACAAGCCUGCUUGCUUGCUUGUGUGUUGCUUUGUUUUAGUCUCACCGAGCUCUGGUUCUCACCCUGAUGGCAGCCUCAUCCGACCCGGGAGGUUCAUGUCAGGUCUGCGUUCCGAGCGGCAGCCGCCACAUCCGCGGACGACGGCGCAGCGGCCCGCGUGAGCCUGCCGACUCACAGCUCCCGAGCCCGUAGAGCUGCAGCGAUGAGGAGGACGAGCGGCACAACAGAAACAGCUUGUACUCGACGGAGGACGGUUAAUGACACCGCGACCGGGUGCGGACAUCAUUUGAAAUGAUUUUGACGACACAUUGCAACACUGGGGUUUCCCAUGCCUAGAGCGCAUUUUUUUCUUUACGUACAAUUGGGAUGGGAUACAAUUCUUUUUGUAACAAAACCCCCCGUUUUUAUCUGACAAAAGAAUUUGCUCAAAUGCAUUUACCCAAAUUAUCGCAAAAUUGGCAAGGUAAUGAUCUAAUUAGAUAAGAGAUUAGGGAAUCGCACCUCACAUUCGGUGCUCGCCUUCAAUUCCUUUUGUUUAAUUCGCCACUGAUUUUUCGGGAAACAGAGAAAGUGUUUACUUGGUAAACUUCCAAUUAACUGAUUCCAAUUAACUGAUAGUGUAAUUUAAAGUCUUUUAGCAGGCGAACAGCUGCCGAGGUGAACACGCAGAAAGUUUUACAAACAACCAAACCACCACGGAGUGAUUAUUUGAAUUUGUUUUCUUUUUAUCCGUGUUAUUUUCAACCUGGCACUAAAUAAAUUAGGUUUUCUUUUCCCCUUCCACACCUGGUGUCCCUGAGCCUUACUGCUUGGUCCUUGACAUACGUAGACAAUAUAUCAAUAUUCAUUUUUUGGGGGGGGGGCUUUAUUAAUUAGGCUUAGAGUUGUCGUCUUUUACUGCAACCAAAUUACUUUAUCUCCAGGAGAUAUUCAUAAAAUGGUGGACUGGCGAAAUAAAAUAGUAUUUGUGACCACUGCGUAAUUGGCAACCUGCAAAAGGAGAAGAAGGAAGAGGGAGAAAAUACGAAUCGUGAGCUGAAGUGCACGACAGAAGGCACAGUAGAAGCGUGCGGCUCU